GAAAUUUAAGGGCGUACGGUGGAUGCCUUGACUUUAAGAGGCGAUGAAGGACGUGGCGUUGCUGCGAUAAGCUUCGGGGAGGUGCUUAGCAACCUUUGAUCCGAAGAUUUCCGAAUGGGGAAACCCUGUCCCGACGUUUACGUCGGGACAAUUUUAACGUUUAUCGUUAAAGAGCGCACCCUGGGAAGUGAAACAUCUCAGUACCAGGAGGAGUAGAAACAAAUAUGCAUUUCCCCAGUAGCGGCGAGCGAAAAGGAAGGAGCCCAAACUUUAGUCGCAAGACUAGAGGGUUGUAAGGUAGCAAUUUUUAUUUAAUUAGAGAGGAGUCAAAAAAUAAGUUAUUAGCUUAAGUUGCUGGAAAGCGACACCAUAGGGGGUGAUAGUCCCGUGAGCGAAAAUAAUUUAUCUCUUUUAUUGCUAUUCUUGAGUACCCCAGGACAUGAAUGGCCGGGGGGAAUCCAGCGGAACUAACCGCUAAGGCUAAAUACUCUUAAAGAUCGAUAGUGAACUAGUACCGUGAGGGAAAGGUGAAAAGCAGCCCGAUUAGGGCGGUGAAAUAGACCUGAAACCGUAUGUCUACAAGGAGUCGAACCUCGUCUUCGGAUGAGGAACGGCGUGCCUAUUGAAGAAUGAGCCAACGAGUUUAUUCAUGUUGCUGGCGAAGCUGGCUAAAACAGCAGAGCCAAAGGGAAACCGAGUGUUAAUAGCGCGAAAUUAAAGUAACAUGCAUAAGACCCGAAACCUAGUGAGCUUGCCAUGAGCAGGUUGAAGUUCGUCGAAAGACGGAUGGAGGACCGAACCGGUAGAUCGUACAACGUCUUCGGAUGACUUGUGGUAAGGAGUGAAAAGCUAAUCGAACUAGGUAAUAGCUGGUUCUCUCCGAAAUAGCUUUAGGGCUAGCGUCGUGUGUUUUCUUUGGGGGUAGAGCACUGGAAGGUUCGGACAGGUCGCAAGAUCGCUGAACCUAUUAAACUCCGAAUACCAGAGACCAAACACGGCAGUCAGGCUAUGGGGGCGAAGCUCCAUUAGCCAAAAGGGAAACAGCCCGGAUCUCUAAAUAAGGUCCCUAAAUAUAUACUAAGUGUAAAACAAGAAGGUGAAGUUUCUUAAACAAUGAGGAGGUUGGCUUAGAAGCAGCCAUCCUUUAAAGAUAGCGUAACAGCUCACUCAUCUAGAGAUUUUGCGUCGAAAAUAAUUGGGGCUAAGUAUAUUACCGAAUUUGAGGGAUCAUAAGAAAUUUAUUUUUUAUGAUCGGUAGGAGAGUGUUCCACUCUGCUGUGAAGCAAGACUCGUGAGAGCUUGUGGAGCGUGUGGAAGCAAGAAUGUUGGCACAAGUAACCGCAAUGAUGCUGAGAACGCAUCACGUCGAAAGAUCAAGGUUUCCUUGGUAAUGUCAAUCAGCCAAGGGUUAGUCGGGCCUAAGGGAAUGGCGAAAGCCGUACUCGAUGGACACAGGGUUAAUAUUCCCUGACUUUUAUGUUUUGUGAUGGGAUGACGGAGGGUAGUAUGUAUCGCUCAUUAUUGGAUUUGAAGUUCGUGUCUUGAUUGUGUUGUGUAGGAAAAUCCGCACAAUGUCUUAAAUGGCACAUGAAAGAGAAGCGAAAAGUUUUAUUCUUCGGGAUAGAAUAAUGAUACAAAGCACGCUUCCAAGAAAAAUCUCUAAACUUAAAAAUGUAAGAUCCGUACCGCAAACCGACACAGGUGAUCAGGUCGAUUAGACCAAGACGAACGAGUGAGUGGUCCCCAAGGAACUCGGCAAAAAAGCAGCCGUAACUUCGGGAUAAGGCUUCCCCUUUGUUAACUCAAAGGGGCGCAGUGAAAGUAUCUCUGGCAACUGUUUACCAAAAACACAGCUCCCUGCGAACUCGCAAGAGGAUGUAUAGGGGGUGACACUUGACCAAUGCCAGAAGGUCAAAUAUCGACGUUGCUAUGUCGCAAGAUGUAGUGGUGAUUGAUAUAAGCCCUGGUGAAUGUCGGCCGUAACUAUAACGGUCCUAAGGUUCUGCACACAACGCAAGUUAUGCGCGGAAUGACUGGGACUGUUAUAGAGUAAAGGUAAACAAUUAAAUUAAAAAAUUAUUAGAUUAUUCGAAUGCUACCUGCUUCACAGUAAUGUGAAGACAGUCAAAACUUGGCUAACGAGAGACCAGCGUCAAGCAUCCUAACCCUCGGGUGGAUGAAGAUAGAGUCCUUCUUAGGUAUAGAAGAGCGAAAUACCUUGUCGGGUAGAAAACUGCCCAUCCGAAGAGUGAUCCUCGGAUUAAAUCUGGCUUAUAACGGUGGAGCCCUUUGUAACAUAAUGCGCGUACACAAAGGGGAAUACCGUGGGAAGUCGUUCUGUCGCAAGUAGGCAGAAUUGACCCCGUAACGACUUAGGUCGCCUAUGUAUAAUGGCGACUAAGAUGGAAAUGUGAUAUACUUUCCAUAAUAUGCCGGCUCUCAAAACAAAACGCAAUAUACAAGAAUAUAUUUCUGGAUAUAUAGAUGGAGAAGGUUGCUUCAGUAUUUCAUUUUCAAAACGAGAUAAAUUUCUCGUCGGUUGGGAAACUAAACCAAGUUUUUCAGUUAGUCAAAAUGAAGACAGAGCGCAAACCCUUUUCUUGAUGAAAAGAACUUUCAAAUGUGGAUUCAUUAGGCGAGAUUUUUCAGACAAAACACUUAAAUACGAAGUGCGAAGUCUGGAUGAUUUGAUCCGUCAUGUAAUUCCUCAUUUUAAAAAAUAUCCAUUGGUUUCAGCUAAACAAAGAGAUUUUAAAUUUUUUGAAAAAGUCUGUUUAUUGAUGCAAAAACAAUUGCAUAAAAACAAAAAUGGACUAGGAAAAAUUAUGAAUCUUGCGUUUCAAAUGAACCCAAGCGGUAAGCGGAAAUAUACGAAAGCGGAAAUGCAAAAAGCGUUGAGAUGAAGAUAUAGUCUGAUCCCUCUUGUAAAAGAGGAUAACAAAUUUGAAGUUCCGACGCGCACGAAUAGUGUAAUGACUGGAGAACUGUCUCGGGGACCAGCUCGGUGAAAAUACAAUACCGGUGAAGAUGCCGGUUAAGUGCAGUUAGACGAAAAGACCCUAUGAAGCUUUACUAUAACUUUAUAUUGAGCAUAUUUUUGGACUGCGUAGAAUAGAUGGGAGGGGUCUGAUGUGUACGGUUUUGGCUGUACUCUACCCAACAGUGAAAUACCAUUCUUUUUGAGGAUAUGUUCUAACCAAAACGGCAAAAACGUUUUGAGACAGUAUAUGGCGGAUAGUUUUACUGGGGCUGUACCCUCCUAAAAAGUAAAGGAGGGGUUUAAAGGUCAGCUAGGCGCGAAUGGAAACCGUGCCGAUAGUGUAUGAGCACAAGCUGGCUUGACUGUAAGACGUACUUGUCAAGCAGGUGGGAAACCAGAAUCAAGUGAACCGACCACCCGUGUUAGACGCGGUGGAAGAUUAACGGAUAAAAGCUACUCUAGGGAUAACAGGCUAGUUCCGCCCAAGAGUUCAUAUCGACGGCGGAGUUCGGCACCUCGAUUAACACCGAAUGUCGAGGAGAGAGUACGAACAGUACUCUCAUGUGUAUGAUGAAAAUCAUGCACACUAAAUCAGCUCAUAACGGAGAAACCCAUAUCGCGGAACAAUGAUAUAAUUGUUUAAAUAUGGUCAACACCGUGGGAAGUUUAGAAAGUAAAUAUUGGAAUAAGAAAAUGCUUUCUUUGAAAAAAGAAAUGCGACUUACCUCCAAACAGCGAUCUUUUAUUAUUGGAUCGAUGUUAGGAGAUGCAACAAUGCGAGUUGGUAUAAAAGCAAAAAAUGCCAAUUUUAAAAUUGAUCAUUGUCUGGAACAGAAAGAGUAUGUGUUUUGGAAAUACGAAAUCUUAAAAAAUUUAGUAUUAACUCCUCCACGACUUAGUUAUCGUACGACAAAAGAAGGAGUACGGUAUAAAAAAUCAUGGUGGUUUAGAACACUACGCCAUCCUGUUCUGACAGAAAUAUAUAAUCAAUUUUACACAACUGAUUCAUAUCGUUGUGGUCGAAAAAUUGUUCCCGAUUCUCUUGUUGAGAGUAUGAAUCCUUUUAUCGUGGCUAUUUGGGUCAUGGAUGAUGGAUCGUACAAUCAAGGAAAAAUCGACAUAAGUACAUAUUCCUUUACUUUGCAAGAAAUUAAGAAGCUUUGUUUUAUUAUAAAAAAUAAAUUUAAUAUAACUAUGCUCUAUCAUAAAGAUAGGGAUAAGGGAUAUAGAAUAUAUUGCAAUAAAACAGAAACUAAAAAACUUGUAAACCUAAUUUGUCCUUAUAUCAUCAAAACAAUGAGAUAUAAGAUAGGACUUUUAUAACCCCGUAACGACUGGAGUCUUGCAACUUGCAGGACAAAGAUAGCAAUUUGCUAUAACACGCUGGUAUCUUAGAACAAAUCUAAAGAUAAAGGUAUAGUCUGCGCCACUAGUAAUAGUGGGUUUACACAUCCAAUUUGGAUGAAUGUAUGUAAUAUUGUGGUCGGCUCACCUUAGCGCGGCGGCGAAGAAGCUGCCAAGCGUUUGGCUGUUCGCCAAUUAAAAAGGUACGCGAGCUGGGUUCAGACCGUACAGAAGUGGAAAGUAGAAAGUUCAUAAAGUUCAUAAAGUAAAAAGCAAAUGCAUUUUGUAUUUGUUUCCAACUUUAUAACUUUACACUUUAUAACUUUUAACUGUUGUACCGUUUGAACCCUCAGAGGAAUUUGAACUUAAUGAACUUAAGUAAUGAACUGUUUUAAUCGAAAUCAAUCAUAAGCCUGUGGGCUUAUCACGGCGGCUCUAAAUUAUUAUAUUUAGGGAAAAGCUGGGGUUUUCGGUGAAAUCCAACAUCAUGAAAAUGAUAGGACAACACCGAGAAGAAAUUUUAAUUUUUCUUUGUAGAGACUACAAACCAGCCUUCAGCCUUAGGCUGAAGAAUGUAUAGUCCGAUCCUCAUAGGAAUAUGAGAAAAGUUUUACUGAAGAGUAAAACUGUAGAUGCGUGAGACAGGUUGGUCUCCUAUCUACUGCACUCGUUGAUUCUUGAAAAGAUUUGCUUCUAGUAAGCCCGGAAGGGCUCAUGCUACUUCGUGAAGAAAUUCACGAUGACAAUGUGGCUAAUAACGGUGGAGUCUUCAUUUAUGUUUCUAGUUCGAUGAAAAAUAAUAUCAUUCGAUCCUAGAUAUUAUGAUUCGCUUGAGGACCAGAAAUGUGGUAAGAUAAUACCGUGGGAAGUCGUGUAAUAAUUAAAAUAUGAAAAUAAAAGAGAUUCCGCAAGCAAUAUUGAAUUACGAUUUAACCAAAAGAAGAAUAUUUUGGAUAAUAGUAAUCGUAAUAGUAUUUAUAGCUUUGCUUGGUAAUUAAUUUCAGAGUAACAAGAGAAUAAAAAAUUAUUAUAUUGACCCCGUAACGACUUGUUUCUCCGGCAUAGGCUGGGGAACGGACUUGCAUAACGCUGGAAAGCCUCGAUAAACAUCGGGAUAGGCUUAUGCUUGUAAUACGCCAACAUCCUCCUUUCAGUUUGAAAAAGGAUGAAGAUAUAGUCUGCACUCCUAGAAAUAGGGGAUAUAAUGUGACGAGAGGACCGAAGUGAACUGACCUCUGGUGUGUGAGCUGUCCUGCCAAGGGCACUGCUCAGUAACUAUGUCGGGAUUGGAUAACCUCUGAAAGCAUCUAAGAGGGAAGCCAGCUUUAAGAUUAGGAAUCGUUAAGAACCGUGAGAGAUGAUCACGUUGAUAGGCUUUAAGUGUAAGGCAAGUAAUUGCUUGAGCUGAGAAGUACUAAUGUUUCGAUU
This 5752-nucleotide ribosomal RNA is filed under the name Candidatus Nomurabacteria bacterium RIFOXYC2_FULL_36_19. RNAcentral's name for it is "23S ribosomal RNA". The stretch from base 1 to 3561 matches the Rfam family "Bacterial large subunit ribosomal RNA". The record is from RNAcentral. Lineage: Bacteria; Candidatus Nomuraibacteriota.